RNAcentral lists this transfer RNA (74 nucleotides) under Nanobdellota archaeon. RNAcentral's name for it is "tRNA-Tyr". It matches the Rfam family "tRNA". From Rfam's summary of the family: Transfer RNA (tRNA) molecules are approximately 80 nucleotides in length. Their secondary structure includes four short double-helical elements and three loops (D, anti-codon, and T loops). The record is from RNAcentral. Lineage: Archaea; Nanobdellati; Nanobdellota. RNAcentral also lists the same sequence under 1 other name.
CCCUCCAUAGCUCAGUGGCUUAGAGCGCCUGGCUGUAGCCCGGGAGAUCCCAAGUUCGAUUCUUGGUGGGGGGA